Molecule: ribosomal RNA, 302 nt
Filed under: uncultured bacterium
Lineage: Bacteria
Description: bacterial SSU rRNA
Rfam family: Bacterial small subunit ribosomal RNA
Source: RNAcentral
AACGAACGCUGGCGGCGUGCCUAACACAUGCAAGUCGCGCGGGAAAGUUCCCUUCGGGGAGCGAGUAUAGCGGCGCACGGGUGAGUAAUACGUAGGUAACCUGCCCUUGAGACUGGGACAACCUGUCGAAAGACGGGCUAAAUACCGGAUAAGACCACGAGAGCUGCGGCUCUUGGGGUAAAAGGUAGGCCUCUGCUUGCAAGCUAUCACUUGAGGAUGGGCCUGCGCGCCAUUAAGCUAGUUGGUGAGGUAAACGGCUCACCAAAGGCAGAGAUGGCUAGCUGGUCUGAGAGGAUGACCAG